This 691-nucleotide ribosomal RNA is filed under the name Procryphalus mucronatus. Its description in RNAcentral is "partial large subunit ribosomal RNA". It matches the Rfam family "Eukaryotic large subunit ribosomal RNA", at positions 400 to 850 of the family's 3401-position model. Lineage: Eukaryota; Metazoa; Arthropoda; Insecta; Coleoptera; Curculionidae. The record is from RNAcentral.
UGAAACCGUUUAGGGGUAAACCUGAGAAACCCGAAAGGUCGAAGGGAGAAAUUCAUUCGCGUCUCGCCGCGGGCUUCGAACGGUCGAGCGACGGAAGGCGAGGUUUCUCGUUUUCCGCGCAUUCCGUUCGACGAUCCUGCGACGAAUGCGUGCACUUUUCUCCUGGUAGGACGUCGCGAUCCGUCGGGUGUCGGUCUACGGUUUCGGGUGGAGCCCGUCGGUUUUCUUCGCGGUUAACUGACGGACCCCGGUGACUUGGCCGGCUCGCUCGACGGUAUAAGAAAGGUUCGAGGCCGCUCAUUCGGAGCGUUCGGCUCGCGGCAAGCGCGUCAGUUGCGUCGGCGAUCGGACCUAGUGCCGAUUCUGACCUCUGGCGACUGUUGGCUGCGAAGUUCUCGAACAGACCUCGUGACCGAUCGGCGACGCUAUAGCUUUGGGUACUUUCAGGACCCGUCUUGAAACACGGACCAAGGAGUCUAGCAUGUGCGCGAGUCAUUGGGAAUCAUUAAACCUAAAGGCGCAAUGAAAGUAAAGGUCUUCCUCGCGAAGGCCGAGGGAAGACGAGCGGUUCGCCCUUAAAAGCGACCGCUCCGCAUUCCCGGGGCGUCUCGUUCUCAUUGCGAGAAGAGGCGCACCAAGAGCGUACACGCUGGGACCCGAAAGAUGGUGAACUAUGCCUGGUCAGGACGAA